Megalops cyprinoides (Indo-Pacific tarpon) is the source of this 273-nucleotide long non-coding RNA. RefSeq lists it as uncharacterized. The record is from RefSeq and is a predicted model, not a curated record. NCBI's taxonomy places the organism in Eukaryota, Metazoa, Chordata, Actinopteri, Elopiformes, Megalopidae. The transcript is spliced from 3 exons.
CGAGAAGGAGGCCAAUGCAAAGGUUUCCUUUUUGGAGUUGAAGCUUUGCAGUUCUGAUCAAAUCAUUCAUGAUUUGGACUACCAGAAGCGGUGCCUGGAGGAGAGUGCUGAGAGCCUCCGCAGUGAGAACCUGGACAUGAAGGUCGAUGUCGCCACCCUCAUGGGAGUGAUCCAGCGGGCUCAGCGAAUGCAACAGCUGGAUGUUUCUGGAGUUACCCUAAGGACAGUUUCUCUGGAGCAAAUUGCGGAGCCUUCAGUUUAUGACAAACACAC